This 3421-nucleotide unclassified non-coding RNA is filed under the name Aphidius gifuensis. RNAcentral describes it as "tropomodulin, transcript variant X9". The record is from RNAcentral. Lineage: Eukaryota; Metazoa; Arthropoda; Insecta; Hymenoptera; Braconidae.
UUUAAACUUGUUGAAGUAAAAAAAAAAAAUAUACAAAAAUAUCUAUAUCAAAGUGAACAGUUAUUUAUUUUUCUUUCUAUUAAAUUCAUAGAGAAUAAAGUGUAAUAUUUAUUAUUCUGUUAAGUUGGAGGCUGAUAUAGAAAACACGAAAAAAGGAAUGGAAGUGAUGGAUAGUCAUACAAUUCAGGAGAACGAUGUCAGUGUCAGAAAUAAUGACAUGGACGUUAAUAAAAAUAAAAAUGGAAAUUAUGAUGACGAUGAUGAUGAUGAUGAUGGUGAUGAUGAUGAAAGUGUUAAAUACGAUGAAGAAAAGGAUAUUAAGGAAGAGGUUGAUGUACAAAUUGAACCGACGGACAAGGUGGUUGAUGAGACUGGUGCUACCGUUGAGGAAACUUAUGAAAUAACAACAACUAGACGUAAAACAACGACAACUAGAUACAAGAUACAAGAGACGUCAGCGUCUCAAAAAACAACAACCAUGACAACAGCAGCUAAACUUUAUGGAAAGGAUUUGAGUGAAUAUGAUGAUGUUGAUGUUGAUGAGCUUCUUUCUCAGCUGACUCCCGAGGAAAUAAAUAUAUUAGCCAAAGAAGUUGAUCCAGAUGACAGUUUUAUGCCACCAUCACAACGUUGCAGUUAUGAGUGUGAUAAAAGUCCAACGGGGCCAUUGAAUCGUAAGAAGCUUAUUGAGCAUAUCAACAAACAGGCCUUAGAGACACCAGAUAUUCCAGAACUGAAGCCAUAUGUAGCUGGUGUUGUCAGAGGGAAAAAGUGGAUACCACCAGUACAAGAUAGCUUCAAAGAAAAACAAGCUGAUGAACAAAUUGCCAUUGAUCUUGGUGAAGAAUAUGAACAGGCAUUAUCAUCAGCCACUCAAGAUGAAAUUAUUGAUUUAGCUGCUAUACUUGGUUUUCAUUCGAUGAUGAAUCAAGAUCAGUACCAUGCAUCACUUUUAAAUUCUGGUCAACCAGUUGGUCUUGGCUGGGAUGGUAUAACAAAAGCCAGUCAACCAAAAGUAUUUCCAUCUGAACCACCUAAUGAUACAGAUGUUGAUGCAACAAUAAAACAAGUACGUGAUGAUGAUCAAGAAUUAAUUGAUCUCAAUUGGAAUAACAUUAAAAAUAUUUCCGAUGAGAAGUUCAUUCAAUUAUUUGAAGCAUUAGAUGGUAACAGCCAUCUUGAAACAUUGAGUUUAACAAAUGUUGGACUAAGUGAUAGAACAGCACAAAGAUUAGCUGAUGCUGUAGAAAAAAAUUCAACCCUAAGAGUACUAAAUGUGGAAACAAAUUUUAUCAGUCCAAGUGUAGUAGUGAGGCUUAUCAAAGCACUUUUGAAGACAAAAUCAAUUGAAGAAUUUCGAUGCUCAAAUCAAAGAUCACAAGUGCUUGGUAAUAAAAUUGAGAUGGAAAUUACACAAUUGGUGGAACAAAAUCCAACUCUUCUACGAUUGGGUCUUCACUUGGAAUUCAAUGAUGCCAGACAUCGUGUUGCUGCUCAUCUGCAGCGUAACAUUGACAGGAAUGGAAGCCAGUGUAUGGGUGAUUACAACGUAUACAAAUACUUCUAGGCCUUUAUUGAAUGCUUCGUAGUCUGUCAUAGAGCUUUAGCUAAAAUCAUCACUCAUCCUGCUUUUAUUAAUUCAUUUAAUUUAUAUUUUCAUUAUUUGCCUAAAGAUAAUAUGCCAAUGGCAUUGAGUACGGCAGUCCCGGCUUGAGGUGGCUACAUCUUAAUACGACGUCUGACAUUUACAAAGAUCGUCUUUGAGUCGAAUAGAAAAAAAAGGCUUCUCGAAACUACAAUAUUGGCUGAUCUUCAAAUCGACGAUCGAAAUUAUAAACUACCAUCAUACAAAGAAGAUGUAUUUAUUAUCGAGCUGUCUUCGUUGCAUCAACAUCCAAAGUCAAAUGAAAACUUUUUUUUUUUAAUAUUUAAAAAAUAAUUAAUAUUUCAAAGUUUGGAUAUCUCUUAAUAUUUUAAUUUCAAUUUUUUUUUUUUUUUUUUUUUAUUAAUUAAUAUAAGCAAACAGAAAAAAAAAAAAGGAAAAACAAACAUUUAAAUUUUAAAUGACAAAUAUUUUAAUUAAAUUGACAUGAAUUUUAAAUUAAUUAACAAAUUUUAAAAAUAUAUUAAAAUUAUAAUGAUAAAUUAUUUAAAAUGGCACAUAUUGGACUGAAAAUAGAAAAAAAAAAAAAUGAAUGUUUUACUUGAUUAUUUAUUAAAUGUAUGAGAUUCAUUAGCUAUUGUCAAUCACGACUGCUUCUUUUUAAAUAUAUAUAUUUUAUUCUGCUCACUGACACUAUGUGUGCUGAGCGCAUCCAUCACGUCGACUGAUAUCGACCUGACAGUGAUAAGCCGUAAUCACCUAAGCACAUUUAAAAUAAAAAUAAAAAAAUGACAUACAAAUGAAUAAUCACGUUAAAUAUAGAUAUUUUUUUUUUUUAAAUUAUAUAUAUAAAAAAGAAAAAGAUAGACAAAAAAAAAAUAUGAUAUAAAAAUAUUUGGGUUUAUUCAAUGUUAAUUGUGAUGAAAUAAUUUAUUGUACGUUUUUUUUUUUUUCACAAAAUUCUUCAAUUAUGUCUAGACCCAAGUUUUAAAAAUUACGUACACAAUAAUUUACGUAAUUUCAUUUUAAUUAAAUUUCAAAAUUAAUUUGUCAUUUUCUCAAAGUUUUACACAAGAUAAAUUUAGAUUUUAUUAUUCAAUAUUUAGUAGUUGACGAGAAGCUCUUUGCUUUAAAAAAAAAAAAGGAUAAAUUUAAAAAUAGCCAACCUAUAACAUCAUCUGCCUAGUUAUUUUCUUUUGUCUACGUUUACAAUUAUAUUAAUGAUAAUAAUAUAUUUAACCCAACAAAAUAUUAUAAUUAAUGUCGAAUUAAUAAAUUUUAAUUAUUAUAUAUGUGGUACGAAGAUAAAUCUGUACAUAUUGUCUUUAACUUGUCGAUUUGAAUGAGUAUAAAAAUAUGAAAAAAAAAAGAAAAAUAUUAUUUUAGUGGCAUCAAACGUAUUGUUUUAAACACGAGAAUAAUAAAAAAUACAUGAAAAAACAAAAAAAAAAAAAACUAUGAAUAAAUUUAAAAAUAAACAGUGUGAAAGUUGUGUGCAAAGAGUGAGUGGAAAUUCGGUUGUCAGAUUUAUAAGCAAAAAUUCGAAUGUAUGCAUGUGUGCAUUUUAGUAAUGAAAAAGAAAAAAAAAAAAAAAGUACAAUCCUCACGAGACAGCAGUGAAUAUUGAUUUUGAAAUAAUUUUUUUUUUUUCACCAAGAACAUGAUGCCUUAUUGGAUACUUUUUUUUUUCUUUUUUUUUUUUACUUGUAUGGGCUGAUUAUAUUAAAAAUAAAAAAACCGAAGAGUAAAGGAUGAUAGGACCGUAGAGAUUGCGUGUGUGAAAAAGACAAAAAUAUGAAAAAAAAUAAUGCUUGAAAG